RNAcentral lists this ribosomal RNA (423 nucleotides) under uncultured archaeon. Its description in RNAcentral is "partial 16S ribosomal RNA". It matches the Rfam family "Archaeal small subunit ribosomal RNA", at positions 323 to 746 of the family's 1478-position model. The record is from RNAcentral.
CUACGGGUUGCAGCAGGCACGAAUUCUCUUCAAUGCGCGAAAGCGUGAAAGGGGAACCCUCAGUGCUCAUGUUUUACAUGGGCUUUUGUCAAGAGUAAAGACCUUGACGAAUAAGUGGUGGGCAAGACUGGUGCCAGCCGCCGCGGUAACACACAGCGCCACAAGUGGGAAUCGUUAUUAUUGGGCCUAAAGCGUUCGUAGCCGGUCUUGUAAAUCUUUUGUGAAAUCGUUUCGCUCAACGAAACGGCGCGCAGGAGACACUGCAAGACUUGGGACCGGGAGAGGUGUAGAGUAUUCGAUGGGGAGCGGUAAAAUGUUAUAAUCCAUCGAGGACUACCUGUGGCGAAGGCGCUGCACUAGAACGGAUCCGACGGUGAGGGACGAAAGCCAGGGGAGCGAAAAGGAUUAGAUACCCCAGUAGUC